This 433-nucleotide ribosomal RNA is filed under the name uncultured bacterium. Its description in RNAcentral is "partial 16S ribosomal RNA". It matches the Rfam family "Bacterial small subunit ribosomal RNA", at positions 29 to 507 of the family's 1533-position model. The record is from RNAcentral.
AACGAACGCUGGCGGCAUGCCUAACACAUGCAAGUCGAACGAGACCUUCGGGUCUAGUGGCGCACGGGUGCGUAACGCGUGGGAACCUGCCCUUAGGUUCGGAAUAACUCCCCGAAAGGGGUGCUAAUACCGGAUAAUGUCUUCGGACCAAAGAUUUAUCGCCUUUGGAUGGGCCCGCGUUGGACUAGCUAGUUGGUAGGGUAAAAGCCUACCAAGGCGACGAUCCAUAGCUGGUCUGAGAGGAUGAUCAGCCACACUGGGACUGAGACACGGCCCAGACUCCUACGCGAGGCAGCAGUGGGGAAUAUUGGACAAUGGGCGAAAGCCUGAUCCAGCAAUGCCGCGUGAGUGAUGAAGGCCUUAGGGUUGUAAAGCUCUUUUACCCGGGAUGAUAAUGACAGUACCGGGAGAAUAAGCUCCGGCUAACUCCGUG